Molecule: ribosomal RNA, 253 nt
Filed under: uncultured bacterium
Lineage: Bacteria
Description: partial 16S ribosomal RNA
Rfam family: Bacterial small subunit ribosomal RNA
Source: RNAcentral
UACGGAGGGGGCUAGCGUUGUUCGGAAUUACUGGGCGUAAAGCGCUCGUAGGCGGCUUUGUAAGUUAGAGGUGAAAGCCCAGGGCUCAACCCUGGAAUUGCCUUUAAGACUGCAUCGCUUGAACAUCGGAGAGGUAAGUGGAAUUCCGAGUGUAGAGGUGAAAUUCGUAGAUAUUCGGAAGAACACCAGUGGCGAAGGCGACUUACUGGACGAUUGUUGACGCUGAGGUGCGAAAGCGUGGGGAGCAAACAGG